UCAGCAGGAGAAGGAGGGCGCCCGCCCCGCGGGGCUGAGGGGCCGCCGCGGCUUUGUCCGCCGCCGCCCGCGCUGAGGGGAGCGCUUGGAAGGCGUGAGGUGGAUGGGGAGUGCGGGUGGGAGCGUGAUGUGCCCGGCGGCCUCCCGCCGGCAGGGAGAGGCCGGAGGGAGCGAGAUCCUCAGCCAAAAGAUGUUAUCAGAAGGAAAUGGGAGGUAUGAAAAGUGGCAGCAAUGCACAGAGGGGGGACUUUGCCCUGCUUCACGGGACCUUCAGACAACAUGCAGAUCAGGAGCUGUGAGCAGAUGAUCUCACAAGAUCCCUUUUAGCCUACCUUUCCAGGAAAACAGAAGCUGAUUCAAAAUUAUAAGUUUUUUAGAAAUAAGUGGACAUAAAAAAAAAAAUUUCAUCACCUGCUGCCUACUGAAGAGCACCAUUAUCAAGUGGCUACCUAGCUCACAGAAAGAAUGUGUGGUAACCACAUGAUCCACAGAAGACAAAAGUCAGGCAAAACAUCUGCAAGAUGUUGCCUGUUUCCAGCCUAAGUACUUUUCAGGACAGGAUUAACAUAUAUCCAAAACCACUAUCCAAAGCAAAGUGACAAUGGUGGCCUUUUCAUGAAGGAUAUUAGAAAGCAUUCAGUUUCAAAAAGAUAUUAGUAACUGAUUGCUUGCAAUUCCAAAUAAAUGUUGAAGAGAACCAGAAAGGUAUUGUCACUGAUGGAUUGCGUUUCAUCUUUUUGUAAUCAUUGAUAUUAAAUGAAACAGAUCUUUUGCAUUUUGUGGACAGUGCAAUUUAUGCCAUGGGGAAAGUGAUGGCAAAUAUUAGCAAAAGUAAGAUUUUUAGAGCCUGCUUCCCUUGCAAUAGAUUAAGAGGUUACCCUAACUUUCCAUGGGACUAGUGUCAGGCAAGAGUGCCGGAAGAUAAAUAGAGCUCAUAAAGCAAGGAAGAUUAAAUAAUGUAAAAUCUAUUAUUGAGGGAAUUCCAAAUACGGAAAAAGGAAUUAUUAAUUUUCCUGACCACUGGAAAGAAUAUAAACAAGCUCAAAUUGUAACCGCGUUUCCUUUGAGAACAUUAUGGAGCAUGGCAGACAUUGCACAAGGGUAUUAUUCAGGCUUACUGUAUCACUAUGCAGUAUGAUCUGACUGAUGACUGCACACAUGGAUCAGCUGAGUCUGUAACACUGCUGAGCAAGACAGAUGGGAAAAUGACAUUGAGAAGGCAACACUCAUGCUGCAUAACAAAUCCAAACUUCUCCUUCCAAAACAUGCUGAACUCUCCUAGGAGUAAAACAAAACAAAAAAGCAGAGACCUGAAGCCAGUUUCAUGUGUGUCAUCCCACAGCCAUGUGCACAUGGGCAUGAAGAGGAGAUCCUUUGGUAAGAAAAGGGAUGAAAUAGAAGAUGGACAUCUCUAAUUGACCAUCUAAGACUAAAAGCUUAAAAUUUGAAAUCCAACUAUUGAAUUUUCUCAAGUUUCCUCACUGACCAUGCACUUUCCUCCUGCUCCUUUCCCCAGAAUUAGAGACCUCACUUUUCUCUUCUCGGUCAAAGCUUUUUUCCCAGCUUCAAGCCCACCAUCCUGUGUAAUAGCUCCUGGAUGGCAUUACCCUCUUCCAGGACCUCUGGCAGCUGUCAUGACUAUAUUUGCCUUUUUGCAACUGCAUACCACACCCAGGGCAAGGAGAAUGUCACAUAUUCCCAGUAAUCUUCAUUAUGACCUGUUUUCUAGAGAAACUAAACAUCACUGAAUUCAAUAUCUAGGCUCCUCCUGAAGUUUGUUCCUCAUCUGCACUGUAAGACUCAAGACACCUCCCUGGAGUCCCCUCAAUAACAAAGCCCACACAAAUCUCCAGACAAAAUUCAUUUUUAGCGUCUUCUGCCCAGUCUUUCCAGAAAUGUUAUUUUCUCAGCAGGCUCAUAACUCACCAAGGUCUCAGCCCUCUUUCUAAAUGAGUUUUGCCUGGCAGAGCAAUCUCUUCUCACAGAGGUCUCCCAGUUCCUUUUUCAAAGACUUCUUUGCAGGAGAAUCUAAAUUUUGGCUACCUGCUUGUCUCCAGGAGCAGGAGAUAAUGCAGGGCUAACCAAGCUCUUUGAUUUUUCUCACACUGUAAAUACUUCAUCACAGGUUUCCCAAUACCCUACUUUUCUGUUUCUUCCAUCUUUCUGUUACAAGCCUAGCAGCCAUGACAUUUUGCCAAUCCUCUGCACCCAUUUUUUUUCCCUUCCUAUGUUGGACUCUGGUCCUUCCAUGGUUUUCCAGUCUCCUGCUACACAGCUGUAUCCCUUUCACCCCAGGCUUUGAUGGUUUGGAACAGCAAUCAGUCAGUUUCUAAAGGCAAUGUGAUAAAGCAUCUCUAUGUGAGCAUGACAGAGCUAGUAGCUAUAGUAACAGAAAAGCAUACUUUAAAAAAAAUGAAACAAAAAUAAAAUCCAAGAGAGGUCUCCCAUCUUCCCUCUACCCCCAAAUAUUGCAGGGUUCCCUAAAUAUACUCCUAUGUAUCUUUACUUAACUGUAUCUCCUCCGUAGCCCAAAACAGGGUGAGACAGAAAUAAAACUUUUUUCCCCCCUAGUUUAAGGGCAAUGGCCUCACCAGGGAGUCCCAGGAGGAGGCUGGGAGGUUAGCCAGGGUUUGGGAGAGGACGUUUUCCACAGCACAGUGGUGCUGCGCUGCCUGAAGACAUCUGUUUGCGUCCCAAAGCAGGAAGGCUGCCUGCCGAUGCUGGUGACACAGCUCGCUGUUGCGCAAACCUGGACUGCAGUUUCUGAGAAUUCAAAAUUUUAAAAUAGAAAUCGUUUAAAACAGUAACUUUUAAACCAGAAGAGCUUUCUGUGAGUUUUUGAGAAGAGCUCCUGAACCUCACUGCACCGAUAAAGGUAUUAAAGAAAAGGUGCUUUUUUCAGCACUCAUAUAUUCUUCACUCCUCUAGAACCUGUGUAGGUGGCCUUCCGCAGAAAGGACCAAAAUAGACCUGGUGCCUCAGAUUACUUUACAGGUCAGCAGGCUGCAAAACGCUGUUCAGUAAUUUAGUGCAUUUAUACAUGUCACACCUUUCCAUUCUCUCUUUUUAAAAUAUGAGCGUGGAAAGAGAUAAGCAAUGCAGGCUCAAUUUGCACAAAAAAGAUGUUUAGUGAACUCCAUAUUUUACACAAAUUACAAGAAAUGAAUUUUUUUUUAUUUACUGCAGUAUCACCUUUCAACAAAUUAUUCUUUUUUAUUUGAUAUUCCCUUUCUGAGGGACUAAGACUGUUCCAUAUAUCUAUUAAAUACACGUGUUCAUAUUUUCAAUAAAACCCAUCCGAAAUAGAUUUCCUUUUAAUCAUUGAAGUAAGUUACCAUGCAAUUAAGGAGAAAGAAUUAUAUAUUUCAGCAAGUUACAUCCUAACAACUGGAAUAUUGUUAUACCUGAAUCAGUUUUAUACUUUGACGUCUUUCCAUUGUUAUCGUAUAAUAGUUAAAAAUCUCUAUGGUUGUUAUAAGACGUUGUUAUAAAUAACCUCUAUUAUUUAGAUAUCUGACAGAUGUAAUCUCUACAAAUGAUGAAUUAUAUCCCACUUCUUAAUUACACAGUCCUCUGAAAUCUAAUUUAAAUAGUAGCUAAGCAGAAUAAAUACAAAAAAAAAAAAAAAAGCAGUUCGCAAAAUGAUAAAUUCAGGUUUUUGGCUCAGCACUGUAAUUUUUCCACAGAUGAUUUUGCAAAGUAUCAUCUUUCGCAGUAUCUUCUAAGGUCAGCGUAAUCUGGAUUUACAUAUUGAUUCAUUCAGUUUCUAUGUCAAUCAUAACGCAAAAAAAUUAAUAAAAAGAACAACUCUUAAGUGUUCUUUAGAGACUUAGCAAUAAUUACUCCCCUGUCAUCUCAGUCAAGCAGGUGUCUUUCACAUGUUCUGUUUUUCAGGCAU
Long non-coding RNA from Cygnus olor (mute swan), 3898 nucleotides. RefSeq lists it as uncharacterized. The record is from RefSeq and is a predicted model, not a curated record. NCBI's taxonomy places the organism in Eukaryota, Metazoa, Chordata, Aves, Anseriformes, Anatidae. The transcript is spliced from 4 exons.